AAAAAAGCAUUGAGCUUGAGGGACUAGACUAAUCAAAAAAUGGAAUAACAUGGCAACAAUUACCCUGAUGAGUGAGAGGGAAGCUGCAGAUGCAUUCAGACACCUAUGGCACUGCGGACUGCACGCAUUCAGCAUUUUGUGUUUAGUGUCUUGUGUUUUUGAGAGCAGGCCAACAGUUUCCAGCUAGAAAUCGCUCACCGGGAAGAUGAUUUUAUAUUGUUUUUCCUGGAUUAAUUUUCCUUUUGCACAGAAUUUGGCAGAUUAAUAACAUUAAUGGCAACUGAUGUUAUCGAGAAAAGAUCUUUGGACUUGACUUGUGAGAUGGAAGAGCUUGGUAUUUCUAGACCAAAGAGUGACAUGAUGAGAGCUGGAGCCUCCAGAAAUUCAAGGCAGCAGCAGUAUCUCCCUAAAGAAGAAGAAGAAGAAAAGAUAAAACUAUUGACAUUUAAAAUCUACAACUUCCUCUAAAAGCUGGUACUGGUUAUCACUGCACUUUAUCAAAUAGUAUCCCCAUUUAAAUUGAGAAUGAAGAGGUUCUUGGAUAAAGAACUUGUAAAAAUCAGAAUAAGUAAAAAGAAGAAAUAGAAGAAAAUAAAUUUAGGUCAGAGAAUGCAAUGUUAUAUUUCUAAAGCGUUCGUGAUCCUUGAUGGGUUUGUUCCACUUAGCAGAUGUUCUCUCUUCCUACACCAAAGGCAGAAACUUUCAUCAGUGACUACUCCCCAAAACUGUUUGUGCCUAGAAGAUGGACAUUUGGCAAGCCAUAAUGGACUGCUCCUUUCCCAGUUUCUUCAGGUCAAGGCAUGGCUUAGAUGGCCCCUCUACUUACAGUGUCACAAGACUGCAAUCAAGGUGUCAUCUGGACUGUGCUCCCAUCUGGAGG
This is a long non-coding RNA of Zalophus californianus (California sea lion), 880 nucleotides long. RefSeq lists it as uncharacterized. Lineage: Eukaryota; Metazoa; Chordata; Mammalia; Carnivora; Otariidae. The transcript has 8 exons. The record is from RefSeq and is a predicted model, not a curated record.